This 201-nucleotide long non-coding RNA is filed under the name Elaeis guineensis (African oil palm). RNAcentral's name for it is "long non-coding RNA (EGUI_LNC075386)". Lineage: Eukaryota; Viridiplantae; Streptophyta; Magnoliopsida; Arecales; Arecaceae. The record is from RNAcentral.
CAUCUGACGUACAUGCGAAGUAGAGGAUCUGCAUAUCUAAGCCUCUGCGAAGGUUUAUAUCAGAUAAUUUGAGAUUUGAUCCUUGGUUCCACUAUAAUUCAGAUAAAGAUUUGAUCUUUAAAAAAGUAGAAUAUUAGAAAAAAUUUUUAGAUGCAACUUGAGUAUUCUGGAGGAAAACUAUUUCCUUCUCUUCAUAAGAAA